This 373-nucleotide ribosomal RNA is filed under the name uncultured organism. RNAcentral's name for it is "partial 16S ribosomal RNA". It matches the Rfam family "Bacterial small subunit ribosomal RNA", at positions 527 to 896 of the family's 1533-position model. The record is from RNAcentral.
GAACCGUCCAAACGUUAUUCGGAAUCAUUGGGCUUAAAGGGUGCGUAGGCGGUGUGGUCAGUUGGGUGUGAAAUCCCUCGGCUCAACCGAGGAACUGCGCCCAAUACUGCCACACUCGAGGGAGACAGAGGUAAGCGGAACUGAUGGUGGAGCGGUGAAAUGCGUUGAUAUCAUCAGGAACACCAGUGGCGAAGGCGGCUCACUGGGUCUCUUCUGACGCUGAGGCACGAAAGCUAGGGGGGAGCGAACGGGAUUAGAUACCCCGGUAGUCCUAGCUGUAAACGAUGAGCACUUGAUCGGAGACUCCCUCCAUAGGUUUCCGGUCGUAGCGAAAGCGUUAAGUGCUCCGCCUGGGAGUAUGGUCGCAAGGCUG